GAUGAAGAACGUAGUGAAAUGCGAUAAGUAAUGUGAAUUGCAGAAUUCAGUGAAUCAUCGAAUCUUUGAACGCACAUUGCGCCCGCCAGCACUCUGGCGGGCAUGCCUGUUCGAGCGUCAUUUCAACCAUCAAGCCCCCAGGGGCUUGUGCUGGGGCCCUGCGGCUGCCCGCAGGCCCUGAAAACCAGUGGCGGGCUCGCUAGUCACACCGAGCGCAGUAGCACAUCUCGCUCAGGGCGUGCGGCGGGCUCCUGCCGUGAAACCCCCCACUGUAACCCCAAAGGUUGACCUCGGAUCAGGUAGGAAUACCCGCUGAACUUAAGCAUAUCAUAAGCGGAGGA
This 341-nucleotide unclassified non-coding RNA is filed under the name soil metagenome. RNAcentral describes it as "partial contains 5.8S ribosomal RNA, internal transcribed spacer 2, and large subunit ribosomal RNA". The stretch from base 1 to 120 matches the Rfam family "5.8S ribosomal RNA", at positions 35 to 154 of the family's 154-position model. The record is from RNAcentral.